RNAcentral lists this ribosomal RNA (461 nucleotides) under uncultured beta proteobacterium. RNAcentral's name for it is "bacterial SSU rRNA". It matches the Rfam family "Bacterial small subunit ribosomal RNA", at positions 200 to 642 of the family's 1533-position model. The record is from RNAcentral. Lineage: Bacteria; Pseudomonadati; Pseudomonadota; Betaproteobacteria.
AGGAAAGCAGGGGAUCGCAAGACCUUGCGCUUUUGGAGCGGCCGAUGUCUGAUUAGCUAGUUGGUGAGGUAAAGGCUUACCAAGGCUUCGAUCAGUAGCUGGUCUGAGAGGACGACCAGCCACACUGGGACUGAGACACGGCCCAGACUCCUACGGGAGGCAGCAGUGGGGAAUUUUGGACAAUGGGGGAAACCCUGAUCCAGCCAUGCCGCGUGAGUGAAGAAGGCCUUCGGGUUGUAAAGCUCUUUCAGCCGGAACGAAAAGGUUACGGUUAAUACCCGUGACUAAUGACGGUACCGGAAGAAGAAGCACCGGCUAACUACGUGUCAGCAGCCGCGGUAAUACGUAGGGUGCGAGCGUUAAUCGGAAUUACUGGGCGUAAAGCGUGCGCAGGCGGUUUUGUAAGUCAGAUGUGAAAUCCCCGGGCUCAACCUGGGAACUGCGUUUGAAACUACAAAGCU